CUCAACCUUCCAUACGAAGGAAUAAACCAUGCGUUUGGUGGGAGUUCCAUCCAGUCAGAAAGUCCUGCAGUUGUACCGUCAAAUUUUGAAGCAAGGAAGGUCAUUACGAUAUACAGAUUUCGAAUUCUUUCGAAGAUCCAUAAGAAGAGAGUUUGAACAACAAAAAGAUGAGGUGGAAGCCAAGGUUAUUAAGGAACAGUACGAGAAAGGGAUGUAUUUUCUGGAGACAAAAUUAGGUGGGUUGCAAUGAUGGAGACAACAUGAAAAUUCAGGAAUAACAUGCUGUCAUAGGAGAAGUCGCUGCCUAAGAACAAGUGGCUUGGGUUCCUGUGUUUAGGAAUCCUGUGUAGAGGAGUUGUUUAAAGUGUUUCAUAACACAGUCUAUGGGACCCUUGAGCAGUGGCAGUUUUCGAGGGACUGUUCGAGAAGCAGUGUUAUGCCUAUUUAAAAAAUUCAGAUAAGAGGUUUAUUUAGCAGAGGUUAUAAGUCCACUAGUGUGUUUGUUCCAUGCAUGAUGUUAAGCUCAAUGCAUUGCAACCAGAACAGAAACAAUUUCAUUUAAUUUCUUCUUGUUUUCUUGUUAUAUACUUGCAAUUUUGAAACUUGUGCACCUUGGUAAAAUUUUGAUCUAUUAAAAAUGCAUCUAUUUGCAAUAAACAUUUCAUUCAUUUAAA
Pocillopora damicornis (cauliflower coral) is the source of this 674-nucleotide long non-coding RNA. The record is from RefSeq and is a predicted model, not a curated record. NCBI's taxonomy places the organism in Eukaryota, Metazoa, Cnidaria, Anthozoa, Scleractinia, Pocilloporidae.